RNAcentral lists this transfer RNA (75 nucleotides) under Syntrophomonadaceae bacterium. RNAcentral's name for it is "tRNA-Val". It matches the Rfam family "tRNA". Rfam says of the family: Transfer RNA (tRNA) molecules are approximately 80 nucleotides in length. Their secondary structure includes four short double-helical elements and three loops (D, anti-codon, and T loops). Further hydrogen bonds mediate the characteristic L-shaped molecular structure. tRNAs have two regions of fundamental functional importance: the anti-codon, which is responsible for specific mRNA codon recognition, and the 3' end, to which the tRNAs corresponding amino acid is attached (by aminoacyl-tRNA synthetases). tRNAs cope with the degeneracy of the genetic code in two manners: having more than one tRNA (with a specific anti-codon) for a particular amino acid; and 'wobble' base-pairing, i.e. permitting non-standard base-pairing at the 3rd anti-codon position. Lineage: Bacteria; Bacillati; Bacillota; Clostridia; Eubacteriales; Syntrophomonadaceae. The record is from RNAcentral.
GGGUCGUUAACUCAGUGGGAGAGUGCUUCCCUGACACGGAAGAAGUCAUUGGUUCAAAUCCAAUACGACCCACCA